RNAcentral lists this long non-coding RNA (7489 nucleotides) under Malus domestica (apple). Its description in RNAcentral is "long non-coding RNA (MDOM_LNC017274)". Lineage: Eukaryota; Viridiplantae; Streptophyta; Magnoliopsida; Rosales; Rosaceae. The record is from RNAcentral.
UAUCAAUCAAGCAGUUAAGCAAAUUAAAUCACAACUCAGAAAUCACAACUGAAGGUAAUCAAUUCAUAUUACAAAUAUAUUCAUGGCUUUGAACUUCCCCCUAGCUAAGUAGGGGAUUAGUUCCUCAUACUUGCAAUUAAACAAAAACAAUUGAUAUUAAACAUAGAAAAACAAAGUAGAAUACACCUAGAAUGCUCCAACAACUCCAAUGGAAUGGCUAGCACAACUCCAAGCACUCCUCCUUCUUUGCAAGCCUUGGAACUAAUGUAAAUGUGUAUGAAUUUCUGUGUGUGUUUUUAAUGAGGUUGCUGCCAUCCAUGGUAUUUAUAGGAAAAGGAUGGACUUGUUUAACACAAAAUUCUGGUGGAAUUGAGUAGGUGAGAGCAAGGCAAAGAGUGGGAAUUGUUGGUGGGUUAGGUAUUGAGUCAUCCAUUCACAUGUCAUGGUGAGUUAAGCAGCAUUGCAUCAUCCACUCACAUGUCAUGGUGUGAUUUAAGCAUUGCAUCAUCAUCACUCAAAUUUCUGGUGAAAGUGAAUCAAUGCCCACGGCAUUGAAGAAUUUUCUUGGUUUUGAGUGAAGUUUUGGUCAAUCCUUCUAGAAAUUUAUCCCCUUCUUGCAACUUGUAUUUGUUUCACCAGAUUUUUAGCAUGUUCAUAGCCUCUUUUGUCUUCAAAUUCGUCCAUCCUCAUGCCUCCAUGCUUGCACAAUCCAAUCUUGGCCCAAAAAUGCUCUAGAAUGUUCCAAAUUGCUUCUUUUUGCAUACUUUGACACUAAAACCUGAAAAUUGCACGAAAAAUAACUUUAAAACAUUAUAAUUAUCAUAGUUUAGCUAAUUAAAAGCAAGAAAAAACAAGCUAACUAAGUCGUAUAAAUAUGCUCCUAUCAAUUUCCCCCACACUUAGCUUUUGCUAGUCCUCGAGCAAAACAAAGAAAAACAAGAACAAGAAGUAACAAGAAAAACAUUAGCUUCCCCCUAUGUGACCCUCAUAGAAUUUCAUUCGAGAACACAAAUCAACAAGAACCAUAGCUGGCACCAAACAAGCUAAUCCAAGUUUAUCUUCCUUAUUCAAAUAUUAGCAGUAAUCUUUGAAUCAUCCUUGAAGUGUAGUGUGUGAGAUAGCCAUGCUAAUGCAAUUUCAAAAUUUUUAUAUUUUUAAAAUCAUCAUAUGCAAACUAGCAACCUUCUCACGGGAUAUACACUCAAUCACACAUGUGUUUAGUUUAAAUGUGUUUCGCUCAAGGAAUCAAAUGUGAAAGUUCUACCAUAAGCUUGCAUAAAGAUCACUUCUCCACAGUCAUAAUUGCAAAACUUAAAUCAAGAGGACUUUUAUUGGAUGUAAUGAGGUUUAGGGAGAGGGUUAUUGAAAUGAAAGAAUAGGUAAACACAAGUUCCAAGCUACAUUGCAAGCAAUUCUUUUCUUUAGAUUUAUAAGAACUCAACCUUUCCAACGAUUCUUUUAGCACCUCCAACCACACCCUUAAACUGAAACUUGAACAACUUUUUAUUUUCUUUGUAUACAAUCUUUCUUUUUCUUUUCUUUUAUCUUCUCUUUUUUUUUUUUUUUUUUAAAUACAAACAUGAAAUACCUCCACACUUAUUCUUUUGCCAAACACCUUCAAAGUACUUCACAAACAUUUCUCAUAAGACAAUCUCACAUUGCUCACUUGGAAAGGGUAAGGAAAAAAAUGUUUCAGGUAUAAGGGUAGACAUAUCUGGUGAUAAGAAAUAAAAGGCUCAACAUACACGGCUCAAAUUGGCAAUCUAAUGAUAUCAUUUUUCUUUGGGAAACAUGGUUAUUUGGGCCAUAGUGGUAAACCUAAUGCCUCUAUCAUUUCCAAAUUCAUGCAAUCAAUGACAAACAUUUCGAAAUAUCAUUACGCAAGUUCUAGAGAUGUAUCUCACAUAAGUUCAUCACACAUGAAAGAAUAGGAGUGUAUGAAAAAUGCACACACUUUCAAUCGGCUAAAAAACUCACAUAGGAUGUAUAUGGUCACUAAAUUCACAUAUGAAGCUUUAAGUCAUACUUUAGUUUCACAUUAACAAGGCUAUGUGCAUUUGGUUUUUCAAAGAUGGUCAAACAUGUACAAAACUAACAAGAGAAUUAGGAAUUUCACAAAACACAUGUUAACUAAGUUCUUGAUGAUCAUGGUUCAAAUUUGAUCCAAUUAUAUCAUUGGGUCAGGAAACUAACAAAAAUCUAAUUCAAAACAAUAAGGGAAACAAGACAAUAUUUUUGGAUUUUUAAAUUUUCUGAUUUUAAAAAAAAAAAAUUUUUUAAAGAAAACAAAACUAAUUAAGAAAACAAAAAGCAACAACACAAAAACAAAUGAAACCAGUUCGUAGUCGAAGGUACAAAAAAUUUUAAUUUGGUCAUUUUUUAUACUCUUUACCCCCAAACUUAAACUGGACAUUGUCCCCAAUGUCAGAAAACACUAUAAUGCAAAUAAAAAUAAAAUAAAUAAAUAAUAAGAAACAAAAUAAAACAAUUGGACUGAAAACUUCCCUAAUUUGCAGUAAAAUCAAGCGAUGACCCCCAAGCUAAAAUUCUGCAAUCAACUUCAAGGGUGGAAAUAACCAAAAGUUCCUGCAAAGAAAAGAAAUAAUUCAGUUAAGUAACACAAGAAAAUAUAAAAAAAUUGCAAACGAAAAAUUGAAAAUCACGAUAAAAGACAAUGAAUAGAACUAAUAAGUGAUCAUUGGUCGUGCUUGUUGACUUUCUACAGCUUUGAUCUCGAACUGGUUUGGAAUUCUGAGCGAGAAUUGCACAGUCUGCAUUCUUCUCUGCUUGUUUCUUCAGCACGGCGGGCAGGCACGAGGUAGUUGUGUUGGUCUGAUUCUUUCUUCAAUCUUUCCAAGUGCCCACCUCUUGCUUUCUUUCUCCUUGUCCCUAGCUGAAUUGUCUCCACAUGCUUCGAGGUAUCAUUUUCACUUCCCUUACUGUCCCCCAGGCAGAUGUGGUAGACGAAGAGAAAACACAAAAUGAUGAAGAUGAGUACUCGAGAGCAAGGCUAGGUAAGCAAUCAGGAAGAGGUUCCAGGCAGUUGGCUCCAGAUCGGAAGAUUUAUACCAAGUGCUGGCUGAUUGCUUGCUUUCUCCUUAUCGUAAAACAAAGACAAGGAGAAGGACAGGGAGAAAGCAUGAUAUGAGAUACUCUUGCUUUCAACCUUUAUGAUAUGAAAUACUUUUGCUCUGGAUGGGUUGUUUGCAGGGGUAUCCCAGGGAAUGAGGAAUACAGAGUGACUCGAGAGGUUUCUUUGGGAAUGCAUUCUCGGAGAUGAAGAAGUGCUGAGAGGGUGUGCCUUUGCUGUGGAAGGCGAAGGUAGAUACUUAUGGGACUUUUCUUCACAACCGGAACUAUUCCCUCACUCAUUGUCGGCAGCCGGUGGAUGGAUGAAUAGUACAAAUUACGCGCUUUCUGACAAAGCUGCCCGUAAUUUCCACAAAGCUGCAAGUUGCAUGUGACGAGUGACGACACGUCUAGACAAAUUGAUCUUGCGAAAUCCGGGGUUCGGCUCGUGGUUUCUGAGCAAGCCCAGCUUUUGAGAAAUGCAACGCCUCUUUUGAGAAAAUAAUCCGGCUUUUGAGAAAGGAGCCCCGACUCUUCGAUUUUCGAGAGGACGCUUCUUCGAUUUCUGAGGAGCGCCUUUCUGAUUUCUUCUUUUUAUAGAGGCGCUAAUUUUGUUCCACAACACACUUGAGCUCCCUCUUGUCACUCAUUCCUGUAAACUUCCAAAAUCUUAAUCUGUCCGAUCUCUUCUUUCUCAACACCUUCAGAAAAUGUCUGGCCCUUCCGAUCGUCGUUUUGACUUGAACCGUGGUGAAGAGGCAGCCCCGCCUUCACCAGACAACAUAUGGCGCCCAUCUUUCAUAUCCCCUACUGGUCCUCUUACUGUUGGGGAUUCGGUGAUGAAAAAUAACAUGACUGCUGCGGUGGUGGCCCGGAACCUUGUCACCCCCAGAGAUAACAGACUGCUCGCUAGACGGUCUGAUGAAUUGGCGGUUAAGGAGUCUCUGGCUCUUAGCGUGCAGUGUGCGGGUUCCGUGUCCAACAUGGCCCAACGCCUAUUUGCUCGAACCCGUCACGUUGAAUCGUUGGUGGCUGAAAUACAGAGUCUCAAAGAGGAGAUUAGAGGACUCAAGCAUGAAAAUACAAUUGCACAAGCUUGCACACAAUUAUGCCACAAACAUGAAGAGGAAAAUUGACCAGCUGCAGGAAAAUGAUGGUCAGAUUUUACUUGAUCACCGGAGGUUUGUGGGUUUGUUCCAACCGCAUCUGCCUUCGUCUUCUGGGGCGGCACCGCGUAGUGAAGCUCCAACUGAUCAACCUCCGAUACCUCCUCCUUCCGUGGCCCCGCCGACUGUUGAAGCUCCGCCGACUACUGAAGCACCACCUGACCAAUGAAUGUUUAUUAGUUUACACAUCAUUGUAAAAUAUUUUUACUUUUAUGUUUUUUAUUUUUUUAUUUUUGGCUUUUUUUUAAGUAUGUAAAUUAAUGUAAAAAGACUUUGUUUAACCUUCCCCCACACUUAAACUAAAUAACACAAACUCACAGAAAUCAACCAAAUAACACAACUAACUAAACAAAACAAAAUGAAAGCAGUAAAGAUAAGGGUGUAAGAAUGCAAAUCUGAUUUGGUUAGCGAUUCCAAAGUCUCCCUUCGUUGAAUGCUUGGGUUGCCUCCCAAGAAGCGCUUGCUUUAACGUCCGCAGUCGGACGAAUCUUUCCUUUAAACUCCCCUCGGCUCCAAAGCAUGGAAUUUAUCUUUUAAUGGGAGGUGAUACUUGAAAUGAUUCGGCAAUGGUUUAAAUUCAAGAGUGGGUGCCUGAAUCAUCAAAAUCAGAAACAUGUUAGUAUAAAUUAAAAUUAAAAUUGGAGAAGAUGGCUUACUUUCUUUUUCCGACACAAACUCAAUGACAAACACCCAUAUCUUUGAACAUUUUCCGGGACUUUGAACUUGGCCAGGUUUACUAUGAUGGUUGUGGCUUGUCCCGUGUCAUCAAACUCAACUGCUUUGGGCUUGAUUGUCUCAUGCACAGCCUCUUGGAUGUAUUCUUCUUGAUAUGCUUCAACCACUUCAUUCUCUUGAAUCCCUUUUCUUGGUGUGCAAGGUUCUUUGAACGUUUCAAUACCAUCGGGAACUUGUUUUGGUGCACCAAGAAUUGGGAUAUCACUUUGCACCUUUGGAAGAGCUUCCACAAUGUCUUUUUCACUCUCUUUGAUAUUUGGAAUCAAAAACCUGCAAGGACAAAGGACAUUCGGUGGAAUAAUGUUAGAAUGAAGUGAAUUUAGAACUUCCUCACCUGAGUUGGAUGACAUAGGGAUUUGAGGAGCUUGCAGCAAGAAUUCUUCUAAACUGCCCAGGUCGUCCUCCUCUUCUUCUGCUUGCAGCAGCAAUUCAUCCAUGUUCGGGCUGUGUUUGGAUGGUUCUGGGACAGCUUCAUCCUUCAUGUCACCUUCCAAAGUGAUGGCUUCAUCGAUUUCACUUUCUGCCUUUGAAUUUGCAAUGUUUGAGUUGGAAAGUUCACUUUGAUCUCGAAUCUGUGCCAUGAAUUCCACAAUCUGCCCAACUUGCAUCUCCAAUUCGUCCACUCUUUUGACUCGGUCUUGCAUCUCCUGGUUUUGAUUUUCUACUCCCUGAUUCAAAGAGGUGAGUAAUUUAUUAAGUGUAUCAUUAUCCAAGGACGUACCUAAAUUGAAUUGGGUUGAUUGUUGUGGUGGCUGUGACGGUUCAUAUGGCCACUGAUAGAACUCUUUCGAUGGCGGCAAUUGUUCUUCUUUUUGUAAACCCUGCGCCACAGAAAUUAGUCCUUUAAGAAUUUCAUUAUAAUUCAUGGGCAUACUUUGAUUUGAUUGGAAUUGUUGUGGGGGAUGCUGUGGUGGCUGCAUAGGUCUUGGAUAGAACUCGUCUUGCUGCCAAUAUCCACCUUUUUGAAAUUGUUGAGGUUCAUCCCACAUAUAAUCUGAAUUACCUCUCCAAUCUGAAUUGCAAGCGUUGGAAAACAUGUUGCCCCUUGAUUGGUUAUAGCCUUGAUAUCCCCAAACAUCUUCAUUGGCAGAAAAUUGAGGACUUUGAUAUCCUUGCCCAUAGGGCACAUCAGGUGUAGGGACACUUGGCAUUGUGGUCCGUUCAGCAUUAUGAGUCAAUUGAGCAGUGAGCUGUGCCAAUUGAGCUUGAAUGGUAGCAAGUGCCAUGUCUCGCUCCAUUUGUACCUAAAUCAAAGAAAGAAAAAUAAAUCAAAUAUCAAAAGUAAAAUACACAAACACCAAUAUAAACAUAAACAAAAACAAAAAUAAAGGGAUUAGCAAAGUUGCUAAUCCCCGGCAACGACGCCAAAAUUUGAUGCGAGAAUUACUUGACACACAAAUUAAACCCUCUUUUUGACAAUUGUAGUAUAGAUGUAAGUAGGGUAUCGUUCUAGGCCGGGGAUUAGGAGGGAUUGCUAAUCUAUUCUAAAUUAAUUUAAACAUAUUAAACAAGACUCAAGGACACAAAACUAGGCUAAAAACUCUAAUAACUCGAAACACACUUAGAAUGACUCAACAUAAUGAAAACAAUCAAUUUAGACACUAGGAACUGAAAUGGACGGAAAUUGAAUUAAAAGACUAACAACAAUGAAAACUAACUAAAUAAUAUAAUUUAAUAAUGGGGGGGGGUUUGGUUUUGACGAGAAGUAAAUUAAACUUAAAUAAAUUACAGAAUUGACAAAAGCAUGAAUUAAGGUGAAAGGAUAGGUGACGGACUAGCUAGAGGGUUCUUCUCCACACAUGACACAUAUGCAACCUAAAUUGAUUUUCAGUUGUUCUUCCAAUAAAUUGUGAAUGACAAUGUUCCAAGUUAAUUAGGUCCGCUUAAAUUAACUCUUAGAUUUCCCUAGAUUCAUUGGAUUGAAUGGAAUACGCAUUACAACCAAAUUAUUCCUCAUCAAAGUCCCUAACUAUGGAAUACGCAUGAUAGAGACAUUCAACAAAGAUCAUUAAGUUCAACGGAAAUCAUAACAUUGACUAGGCAUUCAUAACUAUGGAAUACGCAUGUUAAUCCAGCCUAGAAUUCACUUAACACGAUUGUGGAUAACAACCUUCACUACUUGUGAAUAUAAGUUCAUAACGAUUAGGUAAAAUUCACUUAUAUUCUAGCAUCAAAUUCAUGCAUGUAAAUUAAGUAUGCAUUCUUAAUCGACAUACAAAAAUAAGUUAUCAAUCAAGCAGUUAAGCAAAUUAAAUCACAACUCAGAAAUCACAACUGAAGGUAAUCAAUUCAUAUUACAAAUAUAUUCAUGGCUUUGAACUUCCCCCUAGCUAAGUAGGGGAUUAGUUCCUCAUACUUGCAAUUAAAACAAAAACAAUUGAUAUUAAACAUAGAAAAACAAAGUAGAAUACACCUAGAAUGCUCCAACAACUCCAAUGGAAUGGCUAGCACAACUCCAAGCACUCCUCCUUCUUUGCAAGCCUUGGAACUAAUGUAAAUGUGUAUGAAUUUCUGUGUGU